CCAGGACGAUCUCCGGCGCGCGGCGGGGAUGUGCCCUGAGCUGAUGUCCGUGCCCGUCGAGACCAUUACGGCUGCGCUGCGGUUCCUUACCGACGAGGCUGGAGUGUCCGCCGAGGAGCUGCCGCGCAUUCUGAGGCGACGCCCACGCCUGCUCGUGUCCUCCACCGCGGGGCGUCUCCGGCCGACUCUCUACUUCCUCCGGGCGCUUGGCGUGCCCGACCUCCACCGCCGCGCCGACCUGCUCUCUUUCUCCGUGGAGGACAAGCUGCUCCCGCGGAUCGAGUUCCUCGAGUCGCUGGGCCUGCCCUUCCGCGCGGCGCGCUCAAUGGCACGCCGCUUCCCGGCGCUAUUCUACUACAGCAUUGACGGCAACAUGCGGCCUAAGGC
This 387-nucleotide long non-coding RNA is filed under the name Hordeum vulgare. RNAcentral describes it as "long non-coding RNA (HVUL_LNC010089)". The record is from RNAcentral. Lineage: Eukaryota; Viridiplantae; Streptophyta; Magnoliopsida; Poales; Poaceae.